This 244-nucleotide ribosomal RNA is filed under the name uncultured bacterium. RNAcentral's name for it is "partial 16S ribosomal RNA". It matches the Rfam family "Bacterial small subunit ribosomal RNA", at positions 528 to 772 of the family's 1533-position model. The record is from RNAcentral.
GAGGAUGCGAGCGUUAUCCGGAUUUAUUGGGUUUAAAGGGUGCGUAGGCGGGCUGUCAAGUCAGCGGUAAAAUGGAGAGGCUCAACCUCUUCAGGCCGUUGAAACUGGCGGUCUUGAGUGAAUGAGAAGUAUGCGGAAUGAGUGGUGUAGCGGUGAAAUGCAUAGAUAUCACGCAGAACUCCGAUUGCGAAGGCAGCAUACCGGCAUUCAACUGACGCUGAAGCACGAAAGCGUGGGGAUCAAA